RNAcentral lists this ribosomal RNA (613 nucleotides) under Leptographium sp. HYL-2009a. RNAcentral's name for it is "eukaryotic LSU rRNA". It matches the Rfam family "Eukaryotic large subunit ribosomal RNA", at positions 15 to 654 of the family's 3401-position model. The record is from RNAcentral. Lineage: Eukaryota; Fungi; Ascomycota; Sordariomycetes; Ophiostomatales; Ophiostomataceae.
GUAGGACUACCCGCUGAACUUAAGCAUAUCAAUAAGCGGAGGAAAAGAAACCAACAGGGAUUGCCUCAGUAGCGGCGAGCGAAGCGGCAACAGCUCAAAUUUGAAAUCUGGCUUCGGCCCGAGUUGUAAUUUGGAGAGGAUGCUUUGGGCGCGGCGCCUUCCGAGUUCCUUGGAACAGGACGCCAGAGAGGGUGAGAGCCCCGUACGGUUGGACUCCAAGCCUAUGUAAAGCUCCUUCGACGAGUCGAGUAGUUUGGGAAUGCUGCUCAAAAUGGGAGGUAAAUUUCUUCUAAAGCUAAAUAUUGGCCAGAGACCGAUAGCGCACAAGUAGAGUGAUCGAAAGAUGAAAAGCACUUUGAAAAGAGGGUUAAACAGUACGUGAAAUUGUUGAAAGGGAAGCGCCUAUGACCAGACUUGCGCUCCGCGAACCACCCGGCGUUCUCGCCGGUGCACUUCGCGGGGUGCAGGCCAGCAUCGGUUUUCCCAGGGGGAUAAAGGUCGUAGGAACGUGACUCUUCCGGGAGUGUUAUAGCCUGCGGCGUCAUGCCCCUGGGGGGACCGAGGACCGCGCUUCGGCAAGGAUGCUGGCGUAAUGGUCAUCAGCGACCCGUCU